This 520-nucleotide ribosomal RNA is filed under the name uncultured Glomeromycotina. Its description in RNAcentral is "SSU rRNA". It matches the Rfam family "Eukaryotic small subunit ribosomal RNA", at positions 569 to 1089 of the family's 1831-position model. Lineage: Eukaryota; Fungi; Glomeromycota. The record is from RNAcentral.
AGCAGCCGCGGUAAUUCCAGCUCCAAUAGCGUAUAUUAAAGUUGUUGCAGUUAAAAAGCUCGUAGUUGAAUUUCGGGAUCAAUAUGUCGGUCGUGCUUUUUGGUAUGUACUGGCGUUAUUGGUUUCUCCCUUCUGACGAACCAUGAUGUCAUUAAUUUGGUGUUAUGGGGAAUUAGGACUGUUACUUUGAAAAAAUUAGAGUGUUUAAAGCAGGCAUUAGCUUGAAUACAUUAGCAUGGAAUAAUGAAAUAGGACGUUCGAACCUAUUUUGUUGGUUUCUAGGAUCAACGUAAUGAUUAAUAGGGAUAGUUGGGGGCAUUAGUAUUCAAUUGUCAGAGGUGAAAUUCUUGGAUUUAUUGAAGACUAACUACUGCGAAAGCAUUUGCCAAGGAUGUUUUCAUUAAUCAAGAACGAAAGUUAGGGGAUCGAAGACGAUCAGAUACCGUCGUAGUCUUAACCAUAAACUAUGCCGACUAGGGAUCGGAUGAUGUUAAUUUUUUAAUGACUCAUUCGGCGCCUU